AGGGUUUGAUUAUGGCUCAGAACGUACGCUGGCGGCACGCCUAACACAUGCAAGUCGAACGAAGUAGCAAUACUUAGUGGCAGACGGGUGAGUAACAUGUAGGUAUCUGCCCUUUGGCCUGGAAUAACACGAGGAAACUUGUGCUAAUACCGGAUAAGUCUUUACGGAGAAAGCUUUAUGCACCAUUGGAUGAGCCUGCACUUGAUUAGUUUGUUGGUGGGGUAAUGGCCUACCAAGACUGUGAUCAAUAGCUGAUUUGAGAGGAUGAUCAGCCACAUUGGGACUGAGACACGGCCCAAACUCCUACGGGAGGCAGCAGUGGGGAAUCUUGCACAAUGGAGGAAACUCUGAUGCAGCGAUGCCGCGUGAGUGAAGAAGGCCUUUGGGUUGUAAAGCUCUUUCGUCGGGGAAGAAAAUGACUGUACCCGAAUAAGAAGGUCCGGCUAACUUCGUGCCAGCAGCCGCGGUAAUUC
Molecule: ribosomal RNA, 473 nt
Filed under: uncultured bacterium
Lineage: Bacteria
Description: bacterial SSU rRNA
Rfam family: Bacterial small subunit ribosomal RNA
Source: RNAcentral